GUCCUUUUGUUAAAAAUUUAAGGUCUAACCUGCCCACUGAUAAGUUGAAUGGCCGCGGUAUUUUGACCGUGCUAAGGUAGCAUAAUCAUUAGUUUUUUAAUUAAAAGCUGGAAUGAAGGGUUGAAUGAAAAAAUGACUGUCUCUUAUAAAUUUUAUUAGAAUUUUAUUUUUAAGUUAAAAAGCUUAAGUAUAUUUGAAAGACGAGAAGACCCUAUAGAGUUUAAUAUAAUUUAAUUUUUAAUGGUUAAGAAUUUAAUUUUUAAUUAUAACAUUAUAUUUAAUUGGGGUGAUUAAAAAAUUUAAUAAACUUUUUUUUUAUUUUAAUAUAAAUUAAUAAAUAUUUGAUCCAAAUUUUUUGAUUAUAAGAAUAAAUUACCUUAGGGAUAACAGCGUAAUUAUAUUGGAGAGUUCUAAUCGAUAGUAUAGAUUGCGA
This 433-nucleotide ribosomal RNA is filed under the name Psylliodes cupreus. RNAcentral's name for it is "partial 16S large subunit ribosomal RNA". The record is from RNAcentral. Lineage: Eukaryota; Metazoa; Arthropoda; Insecta; Coleoptera; Chrysomelidae.